RNAcentral lists this ribosomal RNA (464 nucleotides) under uncultured bacterium. RNAcentral's name for it is "partial 16S ribosomal RNA". It matches the Rfam family "Bacterial small subunit ribosomal RNA", at positions 339 to 795 of the family's 1533-position model. The record is from RNAcentral.
CUACGGGGUGCAGCAGUGGGGAAUAUUGCACAAUGGGCGCAAGCCUGAUGCAGCCAUGCCGCGUGUAUGAAGAGGGCCUUCGGGUUGUAAAGUACUUUCAGCGGGGAGGAAGGGAGUAAAGUUAAUACCUUUGCUCAUUGACGUUACCCGCAGAAGAAGCACCGGCUAACUCCGUGCCAGCAGCCGCGGUAAUACGGAGGGUGCAAGCGUUAAUCGGAAUUACUGGGCGUAAAGCGCACGCAGGCGGUUUGUUAAGUCAGAUGUGAAAUCCCCGGGCUCAACCUGGGAACUGCAUCUGAUACUGGCAAGCUUGAGGCUCGUAGAGGGGGGUAGAAUUCCAGGUGUAGCGGUGAAAUGCGUAGAGAUCUGGAGGAAUACCGGUGGCGAAGGCGGCCCCCUGGACGAAGACUGACGCUCAGGUGCGAAAGCGUGGGGAGCAAACAGGAUUAGAUACCCCUGUAGUC